This 267-nucleotide long non-coding RNA is filed under the name Volvox carteri. RNAcentral describes it as "long non-coding RNA (VCAR_LNC004333)". Lineage: Eukaryota; Viridiplantae; Chlorophyta; Chlorophyceae; Chlamydomonadales; Volvocaceae. The record is from RNAcentral.
GACAAUGACAUUUGUACAGCUUAGUUAGUUAGUUAGGUAGUCAGUGUACGGAUGUUCUGUACGGAUGUUCUGAGAGGAUAUUGCCUGGCAGAGGUGUGGGUCUGAGCCGUCCUGGCGCAGUUUGUCAAGAGGCAGGCUUGAAGAAAAGUAGUACGAUAGGGUGUGUCUCAGUGCCUGCAGUGGUGUCGCUGAGACUUACAUAUCGACGCAUAUUGACGCAUUAUGGGACCGUGCAGAUGGCAUCGGGGCUCGAACUGACAACCUGCG